Molecule: ribosomal RNA, 274 nt
Filed under: uncultured bacterium
Lineage: Bacteria
Description: partial 16S ribosomal RNA
Rfam family: Bacterial small subunit ribosomal RNA
Source: RNAcentral
AUACGGAGGGUGCAAGCGUUAAUCGGAAUUACUGGGCGUAAAGCGUACGUAGGCGGUUAUUUAGGUCAGAUGUGAAAGCCCCGGGCUUAACUUGGGAACUGCAUUUGAAACUGGGUAACUAGAGUUUAGUAGAGGGGAGUGGAAUUUCAGGUGUAGCGGUGAAAUGCGUAGAGAUCUGAAGGAACACCAGUGGCGAAGGCGACUCCCUGGACUAAAACUGACGCUGAGGUACGAAAGCGUGGGUAGCAAACAGGAUUAGAAACCCUAGUAGUCC